RNAcentral lists this ribosomal RNA (444 nucleotides) under uncultured bacterium. RNAcentral describes it as "partial 16S ribosomal RNA". It matches the Rfam family "Bacterial small subunit ribosomal RNA", at positions 338 to 795 of the family's 1533-position model. The record is from RNAcentral.
CCUACGGGGGGCAGCAGUGGGGAAUAUUGCGCAAUGGAGGAAACUCUGACCCAGCAAUGCCGCGUGAAUGAAGAAGGUCUUCGGAUCGUAAAGUUCUUUAGUCAGGGACGAAUAAAAUGACGGUACCUGAAGAAUAAGCUCCGGCUAACUACGUGCCAGCAGCCGCGGUAAUACGUAAGGAGCAAGCGUUGUUCGGAAUGACUGGGCGUAAAGGGUGCGUAGGCGGGUAUACAAGUAAGAAGUGAAAUACCCAGGGCUUAACUCGGGUGCUGCUUCUAAAACUAUAAGGCUUGAGUGCAGUAGAGGUUAGUGGAAUUCCGAGUGUAGCGGUGGAAUGCGUAGAUAUUAGGAAGAACACCAGAGGCGAAGGCGGCUAACUGGACUGAAACUGACGCUGAGGCACGAAAGUGUGGGGAGCGAACAGGAUUAGAUACCCUGGUAGUC